Lemur catta (Ring-tailed lemur) is the source of this 903-nucleotide long non-coding RNA. RefSeq lists it as uncharacterized. The transcript is spliced from 3 exons. The record is from RefSeq and is a predicted model, not a curated record. NCBI's taxonomy places the organism in Eukaryota, Metazoa, Chordata, Mammalia, Primates, Lemuridae.
CGGGUUCUCUGGCCCACCUUCGCCGCCGCUGUAUUCGCGGCCCCCUGGACCCCGCCUUAGGCUUGUUGGCCCCCAAGUUUAACCCAGUAGAACUGCUCCUCCCGGACCACGAAUGGGAGGGUGGUUGAUUUAUCUUGCCUGAUUCAGCCGUGUGCUUCCUCCCACCUCCAGAGUUUCUUCAGAGAAAGAUUGGAGAAUGUCCUUGAGGCCAAGCUGUGGGAGAAGUAAAUUUGAAGCAGCACAAGUAUUGUAGACCUUGAAUUGGACCCUCGGGUUGGUCUUGCCUCCCUAGCUCCUCCUGUGUUGAUAAUACUGGUCCCUAGACGAGACACAUCACGGAGAUUAGAGCAUGACCACUGGGAAGCAGGAGAUGCUGCUUUGAAUCGUGGCUUUGCUAACUUAGACAUGGAUGACCUUUCAAUGCUUCUCUAUGCCAAGGAUUUUUUAUUCACAUCAUGGAGCUAAUGCUAUUGCUUACCUUUUAGAUUACAUGAGGAGACGCAUGGAAAGUCCAUAGUAGAGGUGUUGGGAUAUAGUAACUGCCGGUUUUGAUUAUUAUAAUUCAGUAUCUAUAUGGAUGGUAAUUUCUCUUUCCCAAUCUUGUUCUUUGCUACAAGAAUAAUCUCCAUUAAACACCAUUAUGUUACCCUCCUUAUCAAAUUACAUUUAUAGAUUCCCAUUGCUUUCAAAAUAAAUUUUCAGUUCUUUGGUCAUGGGUUACAGGCUCUCUAUCUUGAAGGACCAUCUUGCUACCUGUGUGAACAUCUGCUCCAUGCCAAUUAAUCCAUUCCUUUUCUGUGGCUUGUGAUGUUUGGUGGAGUCAAUGUCUUUUACUGUCAGCUUUUUCAUCAGUAUAUUGUACAUAAUAAUAAACACCUAUCCCUUCUCACUGUACAGGGAAAG